Molecule: ribosomal RNA, 462 nt
Filed under: uncultured bacterium
Lineage: Bacteria
Description: bacterial SSU rRNA
Rfam family: Bacterial small subunit ribosomal RNA
Source: RNAcentral
ACGCUGGCGGCGUGCCUAACACAUGCAAGUCGAACGAGAUCCAUGGGAGCUUGCUCCCGGAAGAUCUAGUGGCGAACGGGUGAGUAACACGUGAGAAACCUGCCCUGGAGUGGGGAAUAACUCGGGGAAACUCGAGCUAAUACCGCAUACCCUCGGAUGGUCGCAUGGCCGACCGAGGAAAGAUUUAUCGCUCUAGGAGGGUCUCGCGGCCUAUCAGCUAGUUGUGGGGUAACGGCCUACCAAGGCAACGACGGGUAGCUGGUUUGAGAGAACGAUCAGCCACACUGGGACUGAGACACGGCCCAGACUCCUACGGGAGGCAGCAGUGGGGAAUCUUGCGCAAUGGGCGAAAGCCUGACGCAGCAACGCCGCGUGCGGGAUGACGGCCUUCGUGGUUGUAAACCGCUUUCAGCAGGGACGAAAAUGACGGUACCUGCAGAAGAAGCCCCGGCUAACUACGUG